Long non-coding RNA from Aedes albopictus (Asian tiger mosquito), 1605 nucleotides. RefSeq lists it as uncharacterized. The record is from RefSeq and is a predicted model, not a curated record. The transcript has 2 exons. NCBI's taxonomy places the organism in Eukaryota, Metazoa, Arthropoda, Insecta, Diptera, Culicidae.
CGAAUUUAUACAGACGUAAGAGUGCGGUGCAAACCGCCUAAAAUUUUCGGUACCAUGUUUUCUUCUUCUUGUUGGGCAGCUUUUUUUCGAGGGGGCUAGUUAUUACCAUUUUGCGGUAGUUUUUUACGCAUUGGUUUACCCCUCUCACAAGCUUUUGACAGUUUUUCGCCGAUUUCGCCGCACAAAAAAAUCUUGUUUUGUUUACCUUUUUUGAUGGUGCGUGGUCCGCUAAUCGCUCUUCGGUGGAUGAGAAUCCGAUCCGGUGCCCCGGUUCUGGGAGGACGGCCAGAAGGACAUUAAUGUCGUAAGGUGUUAUCACCGGAUGUGCACACAAGGGCCAGCGAAUCGUCCCGGAGAUUGUUAAAGAUCAAUGAUAAUGGGCAAACUCUUCGGUGUAUCCGUGGUAGAAGAAGUCAUCCAUUCACCUGCGGUAUUGGAGCAUAUUGUAGAAGCACCGGCUGAACCACCUAGAACGAUUGUUCCGGUAAGCUCGCCUUUCGCAGUGGAUGCCAUCGAUAGCGAUUCUGCUGAAUUCCAUUCCGGACAACAAUCGUGGUGAGCUUUCAAUGCCAAGACACCUCACUGACCAUGUAUGGUGAGUCUUGAACCGGAAUGUGAUCAAAUCAGGAACUCAUCCCACAAAAAAAGUAUGUUGCACGUGUCAGUUCUUCACUGAUAACGGUCGCCGGGUGUGGAUUACGGAAACGAUAAGAUUCCCCUACAACACCGUUCAACAUUACAAAUCACUCGUGAUACUCAGUUUUAAUCGAUUCGCAACAAGUUUAUCCAGAUGGAGCAUCAUGAAAUAUGGCAGGAGGCGGUUCGUCAAGCAGAUGACACCCAGUAACUUCCAUUGGAGGUCCGUGAAAAUCGCUUCCAGGAGUUGCUGUAUGCAGAUCGUGCUAAACCGAAGCUACCCGACUGACGACGGCCCAAAAGCGUUUCUGUGGGCUAUCACAGGACGAAUCGUACGAAUCUGGCGCCCGAAAGCGACACCGUUCCCGCACCCUAGAGAGUCCCGCCUACGAGCCGCUUCCAAUUUCUCCAACAGCACCGAAAUGACCUGGCUGAAACGGCCAGUGGCACCACCAGCGAUUGUGAGGAUAUCACCGAAAUGGUGGAAUUCGACAAGAAAAUUUACACCAGCUUCCUGAACAUUACGCGCGAAUGUCAAACGGAAACCGAAUUGGACAAAAAGCUACAGAAGAUAUGUGUGCCCUCUGGAUGCAUGCCAUUGCUAAUGGCGUCAGAUUGUUCAGCCGUCUACGCUCACAGGCUUUACGGCGGUUGGGACCAGAUUCCGUCACAGGAAUUUGGAAUCGACGGGGGUCAAGAAGGUAAGCUCUCCGAGCGGAUCCGCGCUGGUUAAAAAAGCAAUGGACCCAAACGUGGUACGAGAUUGAUGGCGCUGAUGUCCUUGGACAUCCGAUUCAUUUUCGAUCUAGAGACGAAAUACUUGAAGGGCGUGCCACUGAGAGGAUUGAUGUGCAUAGAUUGCUCCGUACGAUUUGGUAAGGUGCUGCAAUCAGUAUCAUCUAGGUGAGUUCGAUAACUAUGUAUAAGGGUAGAUCAACGUUGUAUGGGAGAAAUAAAAUUUGAAAGCCC